Molecule: long non-coding RNA, 546 nt
Filed under: Malus domestica (apple)
Lineage: Eukaryota; Viridiplantae; Streptophyta; Magnoliopsida; Rosales; Rosaceae
Description: long non-coding RNA (MDOM_LNC021140)
Source: RNAcentral
UCUCUCGGUUGUUUCUCUCUCUUCUGUUGCGGGAUUAGAGUUAAAGCCAUUGCUCCGAAGCCGACCUUUCUCUUCCAAUCACAAGGAAAUCUGAGAUCUUUUUCGGUUCUUCUCAAUACUGGGAGCAAGCAAAUGUUCGUAGCCUUGUAUUUCAAUUGUUGGGCAUGUGAAGUGUGAAAGCGACGGAGACCAACAGAGAGAGAUUAACCCUCCGUCCUGCUCCUUCUCUCUUGCACGAGACCUGCUCGACGAAAUUCCCCAGAGGCAAAAAGCAAAUUCAAGGCACAGACGAAGAAGAAUAUCGUCUUCAGUUUGAGGUGCCUUGUACCUGCUCGACGAAUUGCUCCAGAGAAUCUCCCCUUUUUUUUUUUUUUUUUUUUUUUUUUUUUUUUUUUUUUUUUUUUUUUUUUUUUUUUUUUUCAGGGCGCCCAAGGUUAUUCUGCGUUCAACCUUGCUCUAUGGUGUUGCAAAACUGAAUUAUCAUGGGCACAAAUAUCUUUUGUCCAUGGGGUUUUCUUGCAGAGACGGUUAUGCCGACAACUAAUA